GAUGAAGAACGUAGCGAAAUGCGAUAAGUAAUGCGAAUUGCAGAAUUUCCGUGAGUCAUCGAAUCUUUGAACGCACAUUGCGCCCGCCAGUAUUCUGGCGGGCAUGCCUGUCUGAGCGUCAUUUCAACCCUCGUAACCAGCUUGCUGGAUGCGGUGUUGGGGAUCGGCCACCCGUACUGGGAGGCCGUCCCUUAAAUAGAGUGGCGGUUGCGCUGUGACCUCCUCUGCGUAGUAGCAAUAUCUCGCAGGCGGAUAGCGGUGUGACCACGCCGUAAAACCCCCAACUCUUCUUUGGUUGACCUCAGAUCAGGUAGGAAUACCCGCUGAACUUAAGCAUAUCAAUAAGCGGAGGA
Molecule: unclassified non-coding RNA, 353 nt
Filed under: soil metagenome
Description: partial contains 5.8S ribosomal RNA, internal transcribed spacer 2, and large subunit ribosomal RNA
Rfam family: 5.8S ribosomal RNA (bases 1-121)
Source: RNAcentral